RNAcentral lists this ribosomal RNA (789 nucleotides) under uncultured bacterium. RNAcentral describes it as "bacterial SSU rRNA". It matches the Rfam family "Bacterial small subunit ribosomal RNA", at positions 8 to 796 of the family's 1533-position model. The record is from RNAcentral.
AGAGUUUGAUCAUGGCUCAGGAUUAACGCUAGCGGCAGGCCUAAUACAUGCAAGUUGAACGGGAUUAAGUAGCAAUACUUAUGAGAGUAGCGCACGGGUGCGUAACGCGUAUGCAAUCUACCUUUAACUGGGGAAUAGCCCAAAGAAAUUUGGAUUAAUACCGCAUAAUAUAAUUGAAUGGCAUCAUUUGAUUAUCAAAACUACGGUGGUUAAAGAUGAGCAUGCGUGACAUUAGCUAGUUGGUGAGGUAAUGGCUCACCAAGGCUCCGAUGUCUAGGGGGUCUGAGAGGAUGAUCCCCCACACUGGUACUGAGACACGGACCAGACUCCUACGGGAGGCAGCAGUAAGGAAUAUUGGUCAAUGGACGCAAGUCUGAACCAGCCAUGCCGCGUGCAGGAUGACUGCCCUAUGGGUUGUAAACUGCUUUUGUACGGGAAGAAACCCCUCUACGUGUAGAGGGUUGACGGUACCGUAAGAAUAAGGAUCGGCUAACUCCGUGCCAGCAGCCGCGGUAAUACGGAGGAUCCAAGCGUUAUCCGGAUUUAUUGGGUUUAAAGGGUGCGUAGGCGGCCUAUUAAGUCAGUGGUGAAAGCCUGGAGCUUAACUCCAGAACUGCCAUUGAUACUGAUGGGCUUGAGUACAGUUGAGGUUGGCGGAAUGUGUCAUGUAGCGGUGAAAUGCUUAGAUAUGACACAGAACACCGAUUGCGAAGGCAGCUAGCUAAACUGUAACUGACGCUGAGGCACGAAAGCGUGGGUAGCAAACAGGAUUAGAUACCCCGGUAGUCC